RNAcentral lists this ribosomal RNA (405 nucleotides) under uncultured bacterium. RNAcentral's name for it is "partial 16S ribosomal RNA". It matches the Rfam family "Bacterial small subunit ribosomal RNA", at positions 30 to 526 of the family's 1533-position model. The record is from RNAcentral.
AUUGAACGCUAGCGGCAGGCCUAACACAUGCAAGUCGAACGAGUGGCGGACGGGUGAGUAAUGUCUGGGAAACUGCCUGAUGGAGGGGGAUAACUACUGGAAACGGUAGCUAAUACUGCAUACCAUCAGAUGUGCCCAGAUGGGAUUAGCUUGGUGGUGGGGUAACGGUUCACAAAGGCGACGAUCCCUACCUGGACUGAGAGGAUGACCAGCCACACUGGAACUGAGACACGGGCUAGACGCCUACGAGAGGCAGCAGUGGGAAGAUUGCACAAUGGGCGCAAGCCUGAUGCAGCCAUGCCGCGUGUAUGAAGAAGGCCUUCGGGUUGUAAAGUACUUUCAGCGGGGAGGCGUUACCCGCAGAAGAAGCACCGGCUAACUCCGUGCCAGCAGCCGCGGUAAUAC